Fukomys damarensis (Damara mole-rat) is the source of this 446-nucleotide long non-coding RNA. RefSeq lists it as uncharacterized. Lineage: Eukaryota; Metazoa; Chordata; Mammalia; Rodentia; Bathyergidae. The transcript is spliced from 3 exons. The record is from RefSeq and is a predicted model, not a curated record.
UGACCUUGUGCUGCAGUUAGAGUCUGGUUCCUGACGCAAGCGCUGGGAGGUGGGGCUUUCAGUAAGUGACUGCGUCAGAAGGGCCGCUGACAGGCUCCCCUCCGAAUGGGCUUCCGGGAGAACCAGGUCGCUGGGGACUCCAUGCCAUGAUGUCUGCCUCAUCCAGGGCACAAAUGCAACAUAUGGGGUGAAAUUUCUGAAACCCCUUGUCCCCCAGCCAACGUCUUUCCACAACCUUGGAAGCAGCACACAUCUGGAGAGGCUAUGAUAUCCACUAAAUUAUGAUCCUUCCUUCUUUAUAGACAACCUUUCCAGAAUCAAUACCCUUCAGCUGACUGAUACUCCACUAAGGCAUUUCCCAGGUCAUCUGGUCUCUACACCCACUUCAUUUCCUAGUCCAUAACAGGUCUCUCAGACUUUAUUAAUUUAUUUUUUCAUGGUAUGAA